UAGAGCUAAAUCCUGUGACUAAUAGAUUAAA
Molecule: non-coding RNA, 31 nt
Filed under: Mus musculus (house mouse)
Lineage: Eukaryota; Metazoa; Chordata; Mammalia; Rodentia; Muridae
Source: RNAcentral